AUCAUAGUUCAGUUGGUUAGAGUGUGGUGCUGAUAAUGCUAAGGUUGUAGGUUCAAACCCUGUAGCUGUAUAUU
Molecule: non-coding RNA, 74 nt
Organism: Podarcis lilfordi (Lilford's wall lizard)
Lineage: Eukaryota; Metazoa; Chordata; Lepidosauria; Squamata; Lacertidae
Source: the annotation of a GenBank genome assembly